Small nucleolar RNA from Gadus morhua (Atlantic cod), 70 nucleotides. Ensembl annotates it as small nucleolar RNA SNORD37. The record is from Ensembl. Lineage: Eukaryota; Metazoa; Chordata; Actinopteri; Gadiformes; Gadidae.
GCAAGUGAUGAGAUAAAACCAUUCUUCACUUUGACCUGAUUGUCUAGUGAUGAUAACCUUGACUCUGAGC